Molecule: long non-coding RNA, 1234 nt
Organism: Dermacentor silvarum
Lineage: Eukaryota; Metazoa; Arthropoda; Arachnida; Ixodida; Ixodidae
Exons: 6
Source: RefSeq, a predicted model, not a curated record
CUGACCGCGAACUGCGCAUUUUAAAGGAGGACUGCCUAUUCGCUACCAUCUUCCGGGUUCAAUUGCGAUGUGCACUGGCCACUUCCUGGGUUUACUCGUUUUGGUUUUCUUCAGCGUGAUUUCGGCUGAGCAGUUAAAGCUUCAACCCGCUUUGAUUCCCUGAGCUCCUGGAAGGUGGACGCUACCUAAGGGUCAAACUCGGCAUAUCUGCGUCUAUCACUAGACUGCCAUGACAAUGGGAAGUGGAUAUUACUUAGCGCUACUGGUGCUUGCACGAUCACUCUGUUUAUCUGAACAAGGUGGAAAUCCAAAGGCAGUGCAAGAUUUGAGAAGAACGUGGAAGUACAGUUGCGAGAUGCCCCUUAUGGAACCAGUGGGGGACUGUACUGCCCAGAUAAAUAAGUAUUUCUUUAAUGAUACUGCUAACAUGUGCCAGAAGUUCUACUGGAAUGGCUGCUUGACUAGAGGCGUCUACCAAACCCGCUUCGAAUGCGCAUUGAGCUGCAACGUAGGAGAACAAGCCGCAUUUUGCGGACUACCCCCACCUACUGAUUGCGCUGAAGACUCGGAAUCUCAAAAUAGAGGACAUGCCUAUGAACUGGCCGCUUAUUAUUACCAUACCCAGUCAAGGACAUGUAACUCCUUCAAGUACUGUGGGCGACCACUUGGACCAGACUCAAAUUUUUUCACCAGCUUGACAAUGUGCAUAAUGGAAUGCGAGGGGUUCCCUUUCGGCGAGUAGGAGCUCCACUAAAAGUGGGUCUUCUAAUCCUUGGUGGAACACAGAGUGCUCACGCGAUUACAAGAUAAGGAAAUCAGCGUUGCGAAAACUAAUUCAUAACCAGUUUCCCAGCAAUUGGAGAGACUAUAAGCUCGCGGCACCAACACUUAAAAGAACAGUUGCAAAUGCGAAAGACCGCUUUGAUUGCAAGUACUUCGACUUUCCUUCAAAGGCCACCAACAGAAAAGCACUCUUUCGAUUUCUGAGAAUGAAAAAGGCCAUUCCAGCAUAAAUAAACGUCGCCUAUGUGGUUCCAACACCCUGCGAAUUGUCCAAAUUACUAGAGGAUAUCGCUAAAGGUCUAUAAUGUCGCUUUAAGUCGAUUUUGCCCUAUCAGGCUACGCCGCUUACUCAUGGUGAAGACCUCGAGAAGUUCGUGAAAAAUAUACGAAGCCAGCUCCCUAAUUCAGUGGCAGGUCCCAAUGGCAUUACUACGGCAAUAAUAAAAACUUU